This 429-nucleotide ribosomal RNA is filed under the name Gemmatimonadota bacterium. RNAcentral's name for it is "Gemmatimonadetes bacterium partial 16S ribosomal RNA". It matches the Rfam family "Bacterial small subunit ribosomal RNA", at positions 355 to 776 of the family's 1533-position model. The record is from RNAcentral. Lineage: Bacteria; Pseudomonadati; Gemmatimonadota.
UAGGGAAUCUUCGGCAAUGGACGAAAGUCUGACCGAGCAACGCCGCGUGAGUGAAGAAGGUUUUCGGAUCGUAAAACUCUGUUGUUAGAGAAGAACAAGGACGUUAGUAACUGAACGUCCCCUGACGGUAUCUAACCAGAAAGCCUCGGCUAACUACGUGCCAGCAGCCGCGGUAAUACGUAGGUGGCAAGCGUUGUCCGGAUUUAUUGGGCGUAAAGCGAGCGCAGGCGGUUUCUUAAGUCGGAUGUGAAAGCCUCCGGCUCAACCGGGGAGGGUCAUUGGAAACUGGGAGGCUUGAGUGCAGAAGAGGAGAGUGGAAUUCCAUGUGGAGCGGUGAAAUGCGUAGAUAUAUGGAGGAACACCAGUGGCGAAGGCGGCUCUGUGGUCUGUAACUGACGCUGAGGCUCGAAAGCGUGGGGAGCAAACAGG